RNAcentral lists this unclassified non-coding RNA (376 nucleotides) under uncultured bacterium. Its description in RNAcentral is "contains 16S-23S intergenic spacer region". The record is from RNAcentral.
UCCCGCUUAUCACCGGCAGUUUCUCUAGAGUGCUCAACUAAAUGGUAGCAACUAGAGACGAGGGUUGCGCUCGUUGCGGGACUUAACCCAACAUCUCACGACACGAGCUGACGACAGCCAUGCACCACCUGUGACGGUGCCCCGAAGGGAAGACGUGUUUCCACGCCGGUCACCGACAUGUCAAGCCCAGGUAAGGUUCUUCGCGUUGCGUCGAAUUAAACCACAUGCUCCACCGCUUGUGCGGGCCCCCGUCAAUUCCUUUGAGUUUCAGCCUUGCGGCCGUACUCCCCAGGCGGGGCACUUCAUGCGUUAGCGCCGGCACCCAGGGGGUCGCUCCCCCAGGCACCAAGUGCCCAUCGUUUACGGCGUGGACUAC